GAGGGUAUAGCUCAAGUGGCAGAGUGCAUGCUUAGCAUGCAUGGGAUCUUGAGUUCAAUCCCUAGUACCUCCU
RNAcentral lists this transfer RNA (73 nucleotides) under Camelus bactrianus (Bactrian camel). It matches the Rfam family "tRNA". Rfam says of the family: Transfer RNA (tRNA) molecules are approximately 80 nucleotides in length. Their secondary structure includes four short double-helical elements and three loops (D, anti-codon, and T loops). Lineage: Eukaryota; Metazoa; Chordata; Mammalia; Artiodactyla; Camelidae. The record is from Rfam by way of RNAcentral. RNAcentral also lists the same sequence under 2 other names.